GUGCUCUCUUUGGCAGCACAUACACUAAAAUGGGAACGAUACAGAGAAGAUUAGCAUGGCACCUGCGCAAGGAUGACACGAAAAUUCGUGAAGCAUUCCACAUUUAA
Small nuclear RNA from Myotis lucifugus (little brown bat), 107 nucleotides. The record is from Ensembl. NCBI's taxonomy places the organism in Eukaryota, Metazoa, Chordata, Mammalia, Chiroptera, Vespertilionidae.